UGCAAUGAGAGUUGUGCUAAGGUAGCGUGAUAAGUUGUCUUUUAAUUGGAGAAUGGUAUGAAUGGUUUGACGUAAAGUUACUGUCUCUGUAAAAUGAAAUGAAGUUUCCUUUUAAGUGAAAAGGCUUAAGUUUUUGUAAAAGACGAGAAGACCCUGUCGAGCUUGAUUUGAAUUAUUCUAAUUUGUAGUGGUUUUUAAGUUUUAUUGGGGCAAUAAAAAACAAAAUAACGUUUUUAUGUAUAGCUAAGAUCCUUUGGAAAGAAAGUGGCAAAAGCUACCGCAGGGAUAACAGCGUUAUCUUUCUUGAGAGAUCUUAUUGAGGGAAAGGUUUGCGACCUCGAUGUUGGAUUAU
This 352-nucleotide ribosomal RNA is filed under the name Periglypta puerpera. Its description in RNAcentral is "partial 16S ribosomal RNA". It matches the Rfam family "Bacterial large subunit ribosomal RNA", at positions 1935 to 2540 of the family's 2925-position model. The record is from RNAcentral. Lineage: Eukaryota; Metazoa; Mollusca; Bivalvia; Venerida; Veneridae.